AUUGAACGCUGGCGGCAUGAUUUACACAUGCAAGUCGAACGGUAACAGGCCGCAAGGUGCUGACGAGUGGCGAACGGGUGAGUAAUGCAUCGGAACGUGCCCAGUCGUGGGGGAUAACUACUCGAAAGAGUAGCUAAUACCGCAUACGAUCUAUGGAUGAAAGCGGGGGACCGUAAGGCCUCGCGCGAUUGGAGCGGCCGAUGUCAGAUUAGGUAGUUGGUGGGGUAAAGGCUCACCAAGCCAACGAUCUGUAGCUGGUCUGAGAGGACGACCAGCCACACUGGGACUGAGACACGGCCCAGACUCCUACGGGAGGCAGCAGUGGGGAAUUUUGGGCAAUGGGCGCAAGCCUGAUCCAGCAAUGCCGCGUGCAGGAAGAAGGCCUUCGGGUUGUAAACUGCUUUUGUACGGAACGAAACGGCUCUGGUUAAUACCCGGGGCUAAUGACGGUACCGUAAGAAUAAGCACCGGCUAACUACGUG
RNAcentral lists this ribosomal RNA (482 nucleotides) under uncultured bacterium. RNAcentral describes it as "partial 16S ribosomal RNA". It matches the Rfam family "Bacterial small subunit ribosomal RNA", at positions 30 to 507 of the family's 1533-position model. The record is from RNAcentral.